GUGUGUCUCAAGUUUCUGUUGCCUCGUGAAGGCCGAAGAAAUUCAAAUUUGGAAGAAAUUCCAAUUUGAUUUAUGAUUGCUUUGAUACAAGUCGUGGGUACUGAGUGGUGGGCUCAGGGCUGAUAUUCGGCUUUUUUCAUGGUUUUUGAGUGGUCGCAUUUCACACCCACCUUUUGGCUAGAGCGAGCCUGCUACAGUACUCAGGUGCAUUAUAGUCUUGAGCUGAAGUGAAAGUCAAGAACAAAUUCAGCAACAACUUGAAAUCGGAAUUUACUAUCAAUGCUCUAGCACACUCUUCGCCCUUGAGAAGUGAAUAGGGCCUUUGAACUCUGUUGAAAGGACAUACCUUCACUCAGCAUGAGUUGGCCGAUUCUGGGUGGCGCUGCCAGCGCCGCCUGCCGGCUGGGCAGUGCUGCCCUCCCGCGGCGGGCGGUGGCAACUAGCGCGCCGCUGCAGCGCCGUUUCCCGCGCGCCAAGCUGCCGCUGAACACGGAGCGGCUGAACGGCACUGAGCGGGUGUCCGUGCUCGUGCCCCGGCUGCCCGACCUCUCCCGAGGGGUGCCGCAGGACGACGGCGGUAUCCGCUACCACGGCUUCACAUACUACCCGCGGU
Molecule: unclassified non-coding RNA, 613 nt
Filed under: Amphibalanus amphitrite
Lineage: Eukaryota; Metazoa; Arthropoda; Thecostraca; Balanomorpha; Balanidae
Description: nEDD8-conjugating enzyme UBE2F-like, transcript variant X2
Source: RNAcentral